AUUGAACGCUGGCGGCAUGCUUUACACAUGCAAGUCGAACGGUAACAGGUUAAGCUGACGAGUGGCGAACGGGUGAGUAAUGCAUCGGAACGUGCCCGAUCGUGGGGGAUAACACUUCGAAAGAAGUGCUAAUACCGCAUACGAUCUGAGGAUGAAAGCGGGGGACCGUAAGGCCUCGCGCGAUCGGAGCGGCCGAUGUCAGAUUAGGUAGUUGGUGGGGUAAAGGCUCACCAAGCCGACGAUCUGUAGCUGGUCUGAGAGGACGACCAGCCACACUGGGACUGAGACACGGCCCAGACUCCUACGGGAGGCAGCAGUGGGGAAUUUUGGACAAUGGGCGCAAGCCUGAUCCAGCAAUGCCGCGUGCAGGAAGAAGGCCUUCGGGUUGUAAACUGCUUUUGUACGGAGCGAAAAGGCUCCCUCUAAUACAGGGGGCUCAUGACGGUACCGUAAGAAUAAGCACCGGCUAACUACGUGCCAGCCGCCGCCGUAA
RNAcentral lists this ribosomal RNA (493 nucleotides) under uncultured bacterium. Its description in RNAcentral is "partial 16S ribosomal RNA". It matches the Rfam family "Bacterial small subunit ribosomal RNA", at positions 30 to 523 of the family's 1533-position model. The record is from RNAcentral.